GUCACGGGCCGCACCAGCCUGAACAUGCCCGAUACCGUCUGUCUCGCAAGCUAAUUAGGGUCCGGCCUGGUUAGUACUUGGUUGGGUUAGUACUUUGGUGGGAAACCACCUGGGAAUCCCAGGUGCUAUAGACU
Non-coding RNA from Equus caballus (horse), 134 nucleotides. The record is from Rfam. NCBI's taxonomy places the organism in Eukaryota, Metazoa, Chordata, Mammalia, Perissodactyla, Equidae.